This is a long non-coding RNA of Melanotaenia boesemani (Boeseman's rainbowfish), 300 nucleotides long. RefSeq lists it as uncharacterized. NCBI's taxonomy places the organism in Eukaryota, Metazoa, Chordata, Actinopteri, Atheriniformes, Melanotaeniidae. The record is from RefSeq and is a predicted model, not a curated record. The transcript has 4 exons.
UUUUGUGUUGUUUUGGCCAGUGCCUUAUCCUUAUUCCAUCAACUGUUUGCACUUUAUGAUACGUGUUUGUUGCUACAGGCUGCAUAUUUCAUUAAAGGUUUAAUGAACUACCAUCUUAAUCGUCUUUAUUUUAGUUAGCAUAUACCUCAUAAUAUAAUCAUAUGUAAAUUAGAUGUAAAAUCUAGGUUUUGUAUCCAAUUUAUAUAUGAUCCGAUUAGUCGACUAAUCGAAAAAAUAAUCGAUGACUAAUCGAUUAUCAAAAUAGUCGUUUGUGGCAGCCCUACAUGAGAGUAGGGAGGG